UGCUUAGCAAUGACAAGCUCACAGACAUU
This 29-nucleotide non-coding RNA is filed under the name Mus musculus (house mouse). Lineage: Eukaryota; Metazoa; Chordata; Mammalia; Rodentia; Muridae. The record is from RNAcentral.